UCUGGGGUGUGUGGUCACCUCUGCUGCUCAUGCUUGUGAUCUGGUUCCGAUCGGAUUGUGAGUGUGGCCGGUGUAGUGGCUGUUCAUCCUUUCUGCCGUGUCUGUGCAAACGGGUGCUGACUGGGUUUGCGGGGCAACCUGCUUACCUGUUCGGCAUGCUUUCAGAUGCCUUUAACAGGGUGUCGGGAGCGGACGGCAUAUUUACUUUGAACAAAUUUGAGUGCUCAAAGCAGGCCCAUGUGCCUGAAAAUUCUUGCAUGGAAUAAUGAAAUAGGACUUCGGUUCUAUUUUGUUGGUUUUCGGAUCCGAAGUAAUGG
RNAcentral lists this ribosomal RNA (317 nucleotides) under Monodhelmis torpedinis. Its description in RNAcentral is "bacterial SSU rRNA". The stretch from base 195 to 317 matches the Rfam family "Eukaryotic small subunit ribosomal RNA", at positions 745 to 868 of the family's 1831-position model. The record is from RNAcentral. Lineage: Eukaryota; Metazoa; Platyhelminthes; Trematoda; Strigeidida; Tandanicolidae.